Molecule: ribosomal RNA, 253 nt
Filed under: uncultured bacterium
Lineage: Bacteria
Description: partial 16S ribosomal RNA
Rfam family: Bacterial small subunit ribosomal RNA
Source: RNAcentral
UACGGAGGGAGCUAGCGUUGUUCGGAAUUACUGGGCGUAAAGCGCGCGUAGGCGGCUUUGUAAGUUAGAGGUGAAAGCCCGGAGCUCAACUCCGGAACUGCCUUUAAGACUGCAUCGCUUGAAUCCAGGAGAGGUGAGUGGAAUUCCGAGUGUAGAGGUGAAAUCCGUAGAUAUUCGGAAGAACACCAGUGGCGAAGGCGGCUCACUGGACUGGUAUUGACGCUGAGGUGCGAAAGCGUGGGGAGCAAACAGG